RNAcentral lists this ribosomal RNA (687 nucleotides) under Triticum aestivum (bread wheat). RNAcentral's name for it is "partial small subunit ribosomal RNA". Lineage: Eukaryota; Viridiplantae; Streptophyta; Magnoliopsida; Poales; Poaceae. The record is from RNAcentral.
UUCGACAAGUUGUUCAAUGGGGAGAAUAAAGGCUCUACCAUUGAACUGGACGACUCUUUUGAUGAGACCAGCAUGCGUUCUGUGCGUCGAAUCCAGGAGUCUGAGGUCAAGGAGGCUUUAAAAAGGAUGAAGGAAGGCAAGGCGAUGGGCCCGGAUUGUAUCCCCAUUGAGGUGUGGAAAGGUCUCGGGGACAUAGCGAUAGUAUGGCUAACCAAGCUUUUCAACCUCAUUUUUCGGGCAAACAAGAUGCCAGAAGAAUGGAGACGGAGUAUAUUAGUACCAAUCUUCAAGCACAAGGGGGAUGUUCAGAGUUGUACUAAUUACCGUGGAAUUAAGCUGAUGAGCCAUACAAUGAAGCUAUGGGAGAGAGUCAUUGAGCACCGCUUAAGAAGAAUGACAAGCGUGACCAAAAAUCAGUUUGGUUUCAUGCCUGGGAGGUCGACCAUGGAAGCCAUUUUCUUGGUACGACAGCUUAUGGAGAGAUAUAGGGAGCAAAAGAAGGACUUGCAUAUGGUGUUCAUUGACUUGGAGAAGGCCUAUGAUAAUAUACCGUGGAAUGUCAUGUGGUGGGCCUUGGAGAAACACAAAGUCCCGGCAAAGUACAUUACCCUCAUCAAGGACAUGUACGAUAAUGUUGUGACAAGUGUUCGAACAAGUGAUGUCGACACUGAUGACUUCCCGAUUAAG